Molecule: ribosomal RNA, 841 nt
Filed under: uncultured organism
Description: bacterial SSU rRNA
Rfam family: Bacterial small subunit ribosomal RNA
Source: RNAcentral
CUGGCUCAGAACGAACGCUGGCGGCGCGUUUUAAGCAUGCAAGUCGAACGGUAGGGUAGUGCUUGCACUACUUGAGAGUGGCGAACGGGUGAGUAACACGUAGGUGAUCUACCUUUAUGUAGGGGAUAGCCUGUGGAAACACAGGGUAAUACCCGAUGUGACUGAUAUCUUGCGGGGUAUUGGUGAAAGGUGCUGAGGCACCGCAUAAGGAUGAGCCUGCGUCUGAUUAGUUAGUUGGUGGGGUAAAGGCCUACCAAGGCGACGAUCAGUAGCCGGCCUGAGAGGGUGACCGGCCACACUGGGACUGAGACACGGCCCAGACUCCUACGGGAGGCAGCAGCUAAGAAUCUUCCGCAAUGGGGGAAACCCUGACGGAGCGACGCCGCGUGAACGAAGAAGUGCCGUGAGGUUGUAAAGUUCUUUUCUCGGAGAAGAAUAAGGUAGCGAGGGAAUGCGCUACUGAUGACAUUACCCGAGGAAUAAGCCCCGGCUAAUUACGUGCCAGCAGCCGCGGUAACACGUAAGGGGCGAGCGUUGUUCGGAUUUAUUGGGCGUAAAGGGCGUGUAGGCGGUUUUGUAAGCCUGGUGUGAAAGGCUCCGGCUUAACUGGAGUUUGCGCUGGGAACUGCAAGACUAGAGUUCAGGAGGGGAAGCUGGAAUUCCUGGUGUAGGGGUGAAAUCUGUAGAUAUCAGGAAGAACACCGGUGGCGAAGGCGAGCUUCUGGCCAUGAACUGACGCUGAGGCGCGAAAGCGUGGGGAGCGAACAGGAUUAGAUACCCUGGUAGUCCACGCUGUAAACGAUGUGCACUAGGUGUAGGGCUGUAUGAAGCUCUGUGCCGA